This is a small nucleolar RNA of Rattus norvegicus (Norway rat), 106 nucleotides long. Ensembl annotates it as small nucleolar RNA U13. NCBI's taxonomy places the organism in Eukaryota, Metazoa, Chordata, Mammalia, Rodentia, Muridae. The record is from Ensembl.
AUUCUUUUCUAUUUUGGUUCAACAGUGUUAUGCCUGGGUAUCCAGGCCAUUUUGUGACAUGUGGCUACAAACCUUGCUAUAGCAUCAGCACAUUACUCCACUGGUA